GGGACAAGGAACCUCUCUCUAGCCUCAGGGGCUUCUUUCCUGCCACCGUGCAGCCCCACAAGGUGAGACCCCCUCCCAGCUCCUGGAGAGCCACUCCUCUCCAGGCAUCACUCUUGUGCCUGCCAUCUCCCCUUUGCUACAAAUCUUUGUGUCCAAAUCUGACCCAAGGGCCAUGCCCACCUACAACCAGAGGGCCAGGCUGCAGCCUCCCACGCACCCCUCACCCCUCACCCUUCACCCUCUGUCUAGCCCUGUUCCAGUACAGCUGUGUUUGUGGCCACAGGCUCCUUGCUGCUCUGGGAGCUGACAUCAGGCAAAGCCAGUCCCCCCAGCCGGUUAUGCCACACACCCCUUUCCCCCGUGGAGGCGCUGGGAGGGCAGGUCCCCUAGGGACUUUUCCUGGAAGAUCAGAAUCCCUGCCCUUUAGAGGAGCAAAGUCAAGGGAACCUGGCCCUUUAGAAUCCACUGUCUUCCCACCCUCACGUACACCAGGUGCCCAGGCAGGCCUCAGCCCCUCCCCCAGCAUAUGCCUGGCACUGUCACCUGCCCAGGUGGGUAAUUGACUCUUUGGGCCUGGGUGCCACCAUCAUGCUCUUCAUUGCCCUUUCUCCAAGCUCCUUCCUUCCUCCCUGGCCCCUGUGCUUCUUUUAGACUUUCUUGUCCCAGGGCUGGGGCCAAGUCCUGUGAGGAGCUUGCAGGGUGUCAGGGCCCCUAGAAGCCAGCACUUCUCCAGGUUUCCCUUCUUGUUUGUCAGAGCUGAUGCUCACUGAGGGCCUCGCCCCUGGUAUCUCAGGGUUCUCCUGCCAUCUGUGUUGAGAGUAGGGGUUGCUAGCUCAGCCAGCUCUCGGAGGCCUGGCAGGCAGAGCUGGACUGGCGGCUGAGGGGCUCUGAGAGGUUAUACAGGUGACCGAGGGUGGUGUCCAGGCUGGGGGAAUCCAGGUCCUCAGCAUUCCCUGCUGUGCCCACCUCCAGCACUGCCUGAGGCCCAUCUGCUUCCCCGGCUAUGUACCCAACUCCGCGGUGCUACAGCAGAUGUGGCUAAAUGCGGAGGUCAGCAGCCUCGGAUCCCCGACUCAGCUCGCCUCCCAGAGAAAGUUCGAGGCAAGGGGCAGGGCUGGGGGUUUUGCCGGCAGGGGAGGGCUCUGCUGUCCUUGCAACCCAUCAGGCACCAUCUCUUGCCCCUCUGCAGCCAGGGGCAAGCCAGGAUGCCCUGUGGUUGUGGCGCCCCAGGCCAUCCCAAGCCCAGUGGCAGAGGAAGCUGCUCCAGUGCAUGGGGGAGAAGCCUGGGGAGGAGGGGGAGGAAGACGAGAAGGAAGAGGAGGAGGAGAAGGAAGACGAGGAGCUGGACCAGGCCUUGGCUUCCCUGAGCCCGCACUCCAACCAGCAGCUGGAUUCCUGGGAACUGGAGGAUCAGAGUGCUGUGGACUGGACCCAGGAGCCCCGGCGGCGCAGCUGCAAGGCUGCCAGGACCCACCCUCAUCCCUGGCACCGUCAUGGGAGUUUGCUCUUGGAUGAGCAUUACGGGCAUCUUCCCAAGUUUCUGCAUUUCUUCAUCUACCAGACCUGGUUCAAAAAGUUGUUCCCCAUCUUCAGCCUGCAGGUUGGAGGGAACUGGGGAUGCAUGAGAAGCAUGGGUUAGGGUGAGGGACAGGGGAGAAGAUAGGGGCUGGCUUGGGUGUGAUAUGGGAGCAGGGCCUCAGCAUGCUACCCUGCAGGCAUACCCGGAGGCAGGCACGGUCGAGGGCCUGGCCUCGCUGUUGGUGGCCCUGCUGGAGAAGACCACGUGGGUCGACCGUGUGCACAUCCUGCAGGUGCUACUGAGACUGCUGCCCAACAUGAGCAGUGAUCUCCAAGGCCAGCUGCAGGGCCUGCUCAUACACUUGCUCAACCUGGACCAGCCCCCCAGCCUCCAGGUGUGCCCCUUGUCCUGCCCCCAGUUUUCCUCCCCGCCCACCGGCCCUCAGCAACCACAUCCCCACCGCCUGCCUCAGGACCAGACGCAGAAGAAGUUCGUGAUACUGGCGCUGCAGCUGCUCCUGGCCUGCUCCCUGGAGUCCCGGGAUGUGGUGCUGGAGCUCAUGUCCUACUUCCUCUACUCUCCCGUGCACUGCCGGUGAGUUGCGCUCCUGCCCAGCCCUCCCUGCCACUGGGAAGGCCUCUGGACAAGCCACAUGCACCUGUCCCAGGCCAGAGCUCAAGAAGCUGCUGCACGGGCUGGGCCUUCGGGACCCAGAGGGCUUCCUAUUCAAGGAGAUGAUGACCUGGGUCCAGGGCCCAGACCUGGACUCCAAGGCCGGCCUGCGCACUUGCUGCCACCAGAAACUGGAGGACAUGAUCCAGCAGCUUCAGGAGACCCCAUCGCAGACGUCAGUGGUCUCUGGGGCACCCACACGCGCCUCCGUGAUACCCUCGGGCACCUCCUGGUCGCCCUCCAGCAUCUUCGGGAGGCUCUCACAGGUCUCAGAGGUGCCUUUGAUGGUGGUCUCACCUGCGGAGCCGCACUCUUUAGCCCCGGAGCUCCAGGCCCAGCGGACGCUGGCACCCACGCGCAGCUGGGGGACCCCUCAGCUCCGUCUCGGAGUGCUCUCCGAGACGCUGAAGAGCUUUUGCCUGGAGCCCGAGGCCCGCCUGCACCCUGCCGGGCCUGCUCAGCUGCCCGGAGAGCCGCCGCCGCUGGAGGAGACCGACUGGUCGCACUCGCAGCUGCUGGACUUGGGCCCCAUCGACGCGCUCAACUUCUUCUGUGAGCAGCUGCGGGCGCAGCAGCGGAGUUCGCUCCAGGAGAAGGCUGCGCACCCACACCCGCCAGUGCCCGACACGGUGGCGCCGGUGCCCGACAUGGUGGUGCCACCUCCACAGGAGCACUGGUGCCACCCCAUCCUCCGGCUGCAGGAGGCCAAGCCGCAGAGGUCUGCGAGGUCCGCGAUGAGACUGAGGGGUGAGUGGAGCCAGGGGUGGAGACUGGACCCCACCCCACCCCAGCCCCCGGGCCUCAUAAGCCUCCGCCCGCCCCCAGGCCCCAUGCUGUCCCGGCUCUGUGCGGGCCGCACCCUGGACGGCCGCAUCCGGACGCUGAAGCUGCCGCUGCCGCGUGUGGAGCCGCAGCCUUUCCCCCUGGACUGGCCCACGCCUCCGCGCCCGCUGCCCCCGCGGCUCCUGCAGCCGGCCCUGCAGCGCUACUUUCUGCCAGCGGACGCGGACCCUGACACCUACAGCUGACCGGGCUGGUGGCCUCAGCCCGCCUGGCUCUGGGGCCUGUCAUUGGUAUUUGGCCAAGGCCUGCAUCGGGAAUAAAGUCCAGAGAAUUUC
RNAcentral lists this small RNA (3309 nucleotides) under Pan troglodytes (chimpanzee). RNAcentral's name for it is "retained intron". Lineage: Eukaryota; Metazoa; Chordata; Mammalia; Primates; Hominidae. The record is from RNAcentral.